CAGGAUGUGGCUGAGACAGCUAAGCAUCUCCCUUACACCGAGAAGACAUUCAUGCAAAUUGAAUCAUCCUGA
This 72-nucleotide transfer RNA is filed under the name Bagre marinus (gafftopsail sea catfish). RNAcentral's name for it is "tRNA-Val". It matches the Rfam family "tRNA". Rfam says of the family: Transfer RNA (tRNA) molecules are approximately 80 nucleotides in length. Their secondary structure includes four short double-helical elements and three loops (D, anti-codon, and T loops). The record is from RNAcentral. Lineage: Eukaryota; Metazoa; Chordata; Actinopteri; Siluriformes; Ariidae.